AAGAAGAUGGUUGAGUGGUUUAAAACAACGAUUUGCUAAAUCGUCACGUACAAAAACUUUAGUAUGUCAUGGGUUCGAAUCCCAUUCUUCUUA
RNAcentral lists this transfer RNA (93 nucleotides) under Polyopes affinis. RNAcentral describes it as "tRNA-Ser". It matches the Rfam family "tRNA". From Rfam's summary of the family: Transfer RNA (tRNA) molecules are approximately 80 nucleotides in length. Lineage: Eukaryota; Rhodophyta; Florideophyceae; Halymeniales; Halymeniaceae. The record is from RNAcentral.